This 113-nucleotide ribosomal RNA is filed under the name Acanthosepion pharaonis. Lineage: Eukaryota; Metazoa; Mollusca; Cephalopoda; Sepiida; Sepiidae. The record is from RNAcentral.
UACGGCCAUAUCAAGUUGAAACAGCGGUUCCCGUACAAUCACCAAAUUUAAGCAACGUCGAGCGUGGUCAGUACCUAGAUCGGUGAUCGUUUGGGAAUACCAGAUGAUGUAAG